Molecule: small RNA, 357 nt
Filed under: Candidatus Arsenophonus lipoptenae
Lineage: Bacteria; Pseudomonadati; Pseudomonadota; Gammaproteobacteria; Enterobacterales; Morganellaceae
Description: Arsenophonus symbiont of Lipoptena fortisetosa cspA thermoregulator
Rfam family: cspA thermoregulator
Source: Rfam by way of RNAcentral
AAAUAUUUUCAUAAAUUAAAUAGUGAUUGUUUGCUUUUGUAAAUCUGCUGAAAGCGGUAAUGUUAAUUUGUUAUAUAGGAAAAGGCACAUGUCUGACAAAAUGAAGGGUCAAGUGAAGUGGUUUAAUGAAUCUAAAGGCUUUGGUUUCAUCACUCCUUCUGAUGGUAGCAAAGAUGUAUUCGUUCACUUCUCUGCCAUUCAGGGAAAUGGAUUUAAAACCCUGGCUGAGGGGCAAAAUGUAGAAUUUAUCAUUGAAGAUGGUUCGAAAGGUCCAGCUGCUGCAAAUGUAACUGCUCUUUAAGAUUAGUUAAAAAAAAUGGAUUUUAGAAGCCUAUCGCGUGAGCGGGAGGCUUCUUU